Non-coding RNA from Microcebus murinus (gray mouse lemur), 3180 nucleotides. The record is from RefSeq and is a predicted model, not a curated record. Lineage: Eukaryota; Metazoa; Chordata; Mammalia; Primates; Cheirogaleidae.
AGUCCAAAGUGUGAGAAAAGACCACCUUAGAAACCGAAUUGGGCCAAAUUGUGAGUCUUUAUUUACUGGCCAGGACUACUCCUGUCCUGCAGAGUGGCAGGCACAGGAAGUAGUGAUGAGAGUGGAAAACGGCCCUUUUUUAAAGGCAAAUAAACAACAACACACUCUGAAAAGCUAAUUAGCAAGCACUUUUACAGAAGUGAGAGAAAGCAUUAAUCUUACAUUUUUAUCUUGUUUUAGCACAAUGGGGGGUUGGAGCCUUGAGAUGGGUUUUGUAGGAGUCACCGGCUGCAGUUAAGUAAGAUUCAGCCCAGAGGAUUACCCUAAAGUAUCCUAAUUUAUGGACAACAUCAAUCUUAGUACAUCCUGCAUCCUGUGGUCUAAGCCAGAACUCGUUUUACUGGGUACACGAAGCAUGUCAGGCGCCUCAGGUGUCCAGGGCGCUUCGACCCUGGCCUAGAGGCUAUAUAUUUUGGGGGGGGGCAGUUGUGCCAUGCACCACCACCCUUAGUUUUUAAACUUAAUCACACUAGCAGAGUUAGGAUGGCAGGUGUGGAGUCAGAUAAGGGUCAACUGAAAAUUUCCCACUCUCCAAGCAAGCAAGCAAGCAUAAUACAGAAGCUAAUGGCUGGUUAUUGGCUAUCUAUGGGCCCUAGGCCCUAACAGCUUCAGCCUUUCAAGUAGCUGGGACUACAGGUACACAUCACCACAUCCAGCUAAUUUCUCUAUUUUUGCUGAGGCUGGUCUUGAACUCCUGGCCUCCCAGAGUGCUGGGAUUACAGGCCUGAGCAACUGAGCCCAGCCCAAAUUUCAAGACAGUUUUUUCUCCACCUAGAAGGCAGGCAGAGACAAACUUCCUUGUUGAAGCGCUGUAUUGGUGAGAGGAUUUUUCUACAUUUCACUUUAGGUUUCUAGCUUUAUGUGGAAGGAUGUCUUUUCCAAUGUGCUUUCAAUUUCCUGUAUGGUGGGGCCCAAGGUCUUCACUUCUGGACCCAAGUGGGGUGACUGAUGCUGGCCGCUCCUCGGCCAUUCCCCCGUCUCUGCCACCUGGGACUUCCCUUUCUUUGUGGAGAGCCCAACUCCUGUGAGAGCCUCCGUGCAGCACCUCAAGGUGUUUGUUGCAGGAGGCGGAAGUCACACCUUCGUAGGGGGCAUGUGGUCCUCUCCUACCUGCGUACGAUCUCUGUUUAGGUCUUGUCGACACUUGUGAUUUUAUGUGAUAUAUGGUUUAGCGAAUUAAUUUUGGUCUGAGGUAAAGCUAAUUUCUGAAGUCAGAUGCUACGUGAAUUGAUAUAUGUGGGGUUUGAGCGCUGACCUUUGACGUUUUCUGACUGUCAGUCUUUGGCGCCAGGGAAGGGCAAGACUGGUAAAAGGAAAUUCUCAGACACCAGGCAAGGGAGGAGCCGUGCAGGACAGUGUGGCUGUCAAGGGAGUAGUCUUGACCUGGAACAGAGGGGUGGUGCGGGCGCCCCAAGCCCAUUGAGACAGGAGGCUCCUGGGGCAGGUGGAGAGAGCGUGACUCUCAGAGCCAGACAGAUUGGUGGGCCAGAUGCAUCUCUGCCAGUUAUUACCUGGGCCAGCUCCAGCACAUUCCAGAACCUCUGUGAAUUGAGUCUUCACCUAUUAAUAUUAUACUUGGGGUGAAUGUCACGGACCAUGCAGCAUGUUGGGACAAUUAAGCAUAACAAUGUGAAUGAAAUGCCUUGCUUCGUUUGGAUGCUCAAUAAACGUUCCUUCCUUCUCUCUAUUCCUUAUUGUUUGAGGCUGCAAGUCCCAAGAAAUAGGAUUGAAAGAACAGCCAAUUAACCUGGGAGCUAAAGCAAAGGAGCGUGAAAGAGACGGAACAACUCACUAAAUAGAACAAGCUGUGCAUGGGCAGUGUGUCCGCUCUGCGUGUAUUGUUCACACUUCACAAUGCAGAAUAGCGAUUUUGCAAGGGGGUGGGGGUUGUUUCCCCCUCACAAUGGACUCCUGGGCCCCUGGCAUUUCCUACUUGCUCUUUUAAUGAGCCAUCCUGUGGGAUAGAAGCUAACCACUAUCUUGGCUUCUGUACCUUAGCUUUUGUAAUUUGCUUGCUUGCUUGCCACUUAGCCUGACUGAAGCCAUGACAGGCUUCUACAAAGUAAAAGAAAAAAAAAAGAGAGAGAGAACAAACAAGGCCCCAGGGAGGAAACCGGUAAGGUACUACCUGAUAAGGUAGUGCAAAGUCCCUGGGACCUAGCCAACCAAUCAAUAAAUCAAUACACGGCCAGCAUGAUCAGCGCGUGAACAGCUUGAGUGGGAUGUGUGGGUGCUGGGUGGGCUCUGGAUACCACUUGUAACCAGUCACCUGAGUUGCACAACAACUAAAAGUAUAAAACCUGUGCUGAAACCUUGCCAAGGGUCCUUGUCUAAAGAGACCACUGAGCUGGUGCUCUGGGACCUGGACCCUAGCUCGAGCUAGCUUAAAUAAACCUCCAUUUGUUGCUUACGUUGGUGUGAGCUUGUUACUCUGACAUUCUGUUCUGAGAUACAGAAUUCUUGGACACAACAAUCCCUGUUGCUGACCGGAUGAGCGUAGACUACACGCAGUUAAUCUAGUGACCUUCCCUACAGUGGGGAGGGAUGUCACGCCAUAAUCUCCCCCAACUCUGAGGCUAGGGCACUGUGAGUCCUCAGGAAUGAAAACCCAGAACCCCCAGAGACAGACAUCUACCAGCAAAAAGCCAGAUGGAUUUCUCCAGGCCUCUGCAAUCGCGUGGAUCUCUUCAGAUGUUUGCCAUCUACCCCGACUGAGAAGAGCCUCCUCCUGGCUGGGGAGGCCUCUCCUGCCCCUCCCUUACCAACCACAGGGGCUUCAGCCAGCAAGGAGGGCGUAUCCCUUACCUCACGUGUCACAGGGCAGUUGGGACGGGAGUGACCCUGAGGCUUCUGCCUCCCUAAGACUGCACUGACCUCCAACUCAGACUGAAGAGCUCUUUGGUGCAUGUUGACUUUUAUUGAGAUAAAAUGAAUCAUUUUAAUCAUUUAAAUAUGCACAGUUCAGUGGUUUUUAGUGUAUUCACAAAGAUGUGCAAAUACCACCACUAUCUAAUUCCAGAACAUUUCCAUCUCUCCUAAAAGAAAGCUGCUAUUCAUUAGCAGUCACUCCCAAUUUUCUUCUCCGCCAUCCUCUGGCAACUCCUAAUCUAUCUUUUUCUU